GACGAACGCUGGCGGCGUGCUUAACACAUGCAAGUCGAACGGAAAGGCCCUUCGGGGUACUCGAGUGGCGAACGGGUGGGUAACACGUGGGUGAUCUGCCCUGCACUUUGGGAUAAGCCUGGGCAACUGGGUCUAAUACCGAAUAGGACCACGCGCUUCAUGGUGUGUGGUGGAAAGCUUUGGCGGUGUGGGAUGGGCGCGCGGCCUAUCAGCUUGUUGGUGGGGUAAUGGCAUACCAAGGCGACGACGGGUAGCCGGCCUGAGAGGGUGACCGGCCACACUGGGACUGAGAUACGGCCCAGACUCCUACGGGAGGCAGCAGUGGGGAAUAUUGCACAAUGGGCGCAAGCCUGAUGCAGCGGCGCCGCGUGAGGGAUGACGGCCUUCGGGUUGUAAACCUCUUUCAGUAGGGACGAAGCGCAAGUGACGGUACCUAUAGAAGAAGCACCGGCCAACUACGUG
RNAcentral lists this ribosomal RNA (462 nucleotides) under uncultured bacterium. Its description in RNAcentral is "partial 16S ribosomal RNA". It matches the Rfam family "Bacterial small subunit ribosomal RNA", at positions 28 to 507 of the family's 1533-position model. The record is from RNAcentral.